CAGCCGCCGCGGUAAAACGUAGGGGGCGAGCGUUGUCCGGAAUUACUGGGCGUAAAGGGCGUGUAGGCGGCUAGGUAAGUCAGGUGUGAAAACUUUUGGCUCAACCAGGAGACUGCACCUGAAACUGCGUAGCUUGAGGGUAGGAGAGGAAAGUGGAAUUCCUAGUGUAGCGGUGAAAUGCGUAGAUAUUAGGAGGAACACCAGUGGCGAAGGCGACUUUCUGGCCUAACCCUGACGCUGAGGCGCGAAAGCGUGGGGAGCAAACAGGAUUAGAUACCCUGGUAGUCCACGCCGUAAACGAUGGGUACUAGGUGUAGGAGGUAUCGACGCCUUCUGUGCCGCAGCAAACGCAUUAAGUACCCCGCCUGGGGAGUACGGCCGCAAGGCUGAAACUCAAAGGAAUUGACGGGGGCCCGCACAAGCGGUGGAGCAUGUGGUUUAAUUCGACGCAACGCGAAGAACCUUACCGGGUCUUGACAUCCCCUGAAAUAGGUGAAAGCCGAAAUAGACUUUGGUCACAGGGAGACAGGAGGUGCAUGGCC
RNAcentral lists this ribosomal RNA (542 nucleotides) under uncultured archaeon. Its description in RNAcentral is "bacterial SSU rRNA". It matches the Rfam family "Bacterial small subunit ribosomal RNA", at positions 509 to 1050 of the family's 1533-position model. The record is from RNAcentral.